Long non-coding RNA from Magnolia sinica, 162 nucleotides. RefSeq lists it as uncharacterized. The record is from RefSeq and is a predicted model, not a curated record. Lineage: Eukaryota; Viridiplantae; Streptophyta; Magnoliopsida; Magnoliales; Magnoliaceae. The transcript has 3 exons.
UUUAGGUUUAGGUUUAGGUUUUGGGAUUUGAGAAUGGGUUCGGUUUUAGGUUAUAAGUUUUGGUUUUGGUUUAGGUUAUAGGAUUUGAGAAUGGGUUCGGGUUUAGGUUAUAGGUUUUGGUUUUGGUUUAGGUUAUAUGUUUUGAUUUAGGUUAUAUGUUAU